Molecule: ribosomal RNA, 830 nt
Filed under: uncultured bacterium
Lineage: Bacteria
Description: bacterial SSU rRNA
Rfam family: Bacterial small subunit ribosomal RNA
Source: RNAcentral
AGAGUUUGAUCCUGGCUCAGAUUGAACGCUGGCGGCAUGCCUAACACAUGCAAGUCGAACGCCUGUACCAAUACAGGAGUGCUGCGCGGGUGAAUAGCGCGUGGGAACCUGCCCUGGAGUGGACCAUCCCCGACAGAAAUUUCAGCUAAUACCGCCUACGUCCUGAAGCACAUACAUUUAUCGCUCUAAGAGGGGCCCGCUUCGGAUUACCUACGUGGUGACGUAACGAUCUACCAUUACAACGAUCCGUAGGUGGUGUGAUACGAUGAUCACCCUCGAUGGGAGUGAUACACGGACCAUACUCCUACCUGAGGCUGAAACGCGGAAUAUAGUACUAUGGGAGAAAGCCUGAUCCAAUGUUGCCGCGUGAGUGAUGAAGGCCUUAAGGUUGGAAAGCUCUUUCGGCAAGGACUAUGAUGACGGUACCCGUUUAAUAAGGCCCGGCUAACUACCUGCCAACAGCCGCGGGAAUACGAAGGGCCUGAGCGUUGUUCGCAAUUACUGUUCGUGCCAGGCGCGCAGGGGGCUCUGAGAGUCAGAUGUGAAAUCCCCGGGCUUGACCUGAGAACUGCAUUUGAUACUCUGGUAGCUUGAGUACGUGAAAGGAUAGUGGAAUUCCCAGUGUGGAGGAUGAAAUUCUGUAGAUAUUGGGAAGAACACCAGGUGGGGAAGGCUGCUAUCUGUACCGUAAAUGUGCGCUGAGGAUGCGGAAAGCAUGGUGGAGGGAACAGGAUUACAUACUCGUGACUAGCUCUGCACCGGUGAAGCGACUGAUGACGCGUAGGACGAUUCGGAGACAGGCGUAUAUACAUUCUCUCGGGUGUGUUCAG